Mytilus californianus (California mussel) is the source of this 455-nucleotide long non-coding RNA. RefSeq lists it as uncharacterized. The transcript is spliced from 2 exons. The record is from RefSeq and is a predicted model, not a curated record. Lineage: Eukaryota; Metazoa; Mollusca; Bivalvia; Mytilida; Mytilidae.
ACACCUCAAUUUUCCUUCUUCUGAAGGAUAAAUGUAAAACAUCUUGUUCGAAGGAUUGAAAUUCAUCAAUUAGAAUAAAAGGAGAAAACACAGAAACAAGACCAGAAUAAAUUCAAAGACAAAAGUCAGAUCAGUUAUUAUUUUCAUCACUCAGUCAAUGAAUUGAAGUUCUAUUAAAUAUCUAAAGUCAAAAGAUAUUAAAACCACAAUAAUGACAAUGUUCUGUGCUGAAUGGCCAAAAAGUGUACUAUACAUUACGAUCACACAAUGCUGGAUGAUAAGAAACUAUUAAUUUUUUGGGUGGAGGGAUAUCCUGAAAAAAAAUAGAUUUAUGUAAAAAGCUACUAGUAUGUUAAGCCUAAUAAAAGAGUUUUCAUUGAUUUCAAAUGGGAAAAAUUGUGUUUCAAAAAAGUAUUCUAGAAUUCAUAAAUAAACAUAUAUUGAUACUUACAUUA